Molecule: ribosomal RNA, 435 nt
Filed under: uncultured Lachnospiraceae bacterium
Lineage: Bacteria; Bacillati; Bacillota; Clostridia; Lachnospirales; Lachnospiraceae
Description: bacterial SSU rRNA
Rfam family: Bacterial small subunit ribosomal RNA
Source: RNAcentral
ACGGGAGGCAGCAGUAGGGAAUAUUGCACAAUGGGGGAAACCCUGAUGCAGCGACGCCGCGUGAGUGAUGAAGUAUUUCGGUAUGUAAAGCUCUAUCAGCAGGGAAGAUAAUGACGGUACCUGACUAAGAAGCCCCGGCUAACUACGUGCCAGCAGCCGCGGUAAUACGUAGGGGGCAAGCGUUAUCCGGAUUUACUGGGUGUAAAGGGAGUGUAGGUGGUUUGGCAAGCCAGAUGUGAAAGCCCGGGGCUCAACCCCGCGGACUGCAUUUGGAACUGUUAAACUUGAGUGCAGGAGAGGAAAGUGGAAUUCCUAGUGUAGCGGUGAAAUGCGUAGAUAUUAGGAGGAACACCAGUGGCGAAGGCGGCUUACUGGACUGUAACUGACGUUGAGGCUCGAAAGCGUGGGGAGCAAACAGGAUUAGAUACCCUGGUA